CACUCGGGUCCUACGCCAAAACCCCACCACUCCACAGCACAGUCACGCUAGCACAGUAAUAAUCCCAUUCGGGCAUUUCAUCAAAUAUCAAUGCCUCCAAAAUCCGAGCCCCAAAACCUCUCCUCCUCCGCCAUGGAAUCUUCCGACUCCUCCAUCGACCCAUUCUUCCACGUCCUCAAAAUCCUUCCCUACUCCUUCCUCCGCCCUCCUCGUCUACGUCUAAAGCUCCCAUCCUUCACUCUUCCAUCCGCCAUGACCGUCUACGCCUUGAUCCUCCUCACCUACUUCCUCGUCGUGUCAGGGCUCGUCUACGAUGUCAUCGUUGAACCUCCGGGCAUCGGAUCUACUCAGGAUCCUCGCACCGGAUCAGUUAGACCUGUUGUUUUCCUCCCGGGUCGGGUCAAUGGGCAGUAUAUUAUCGAAGGGCUCUCCUCCGGGUUCAUGUUUGUUCUUGGCGGAACUGGGAUUGUGCUUUUGGACUUGGCUCUGGACAAAAAUCGGGCUAAAAGCGUCAAGGUUUCGUUUGCUUCAGCUGGGGUUGCUUUUGUUGUGAUUGCUUAUGUUAUGAGUAUAUUGUUCAUUCGUAUUAAGAUCCCGGCUUAUCUCCGCUGAGCGCUGUUCAUCAGGAUGUUAAGGAUUUUGAGAAAAGCUCGAGUUUUUAACUUUAUUGUGUUUUUUUGGGGACCUUUUGAAUGGGAUUUAUCUUAUUGUAAUGAAUUGACUUAUCAUAUAUGAAGUUAUGGAGGAAUUUUAAUUGCAUCUUAAAGUUGUAAUGCUGGUGAUCGGUGUCAUUUUCUGGUCACUUUCUUUCUUAUAGUGUUUAGAUUGAUGGUUGUUAUGAGAUAUGAUGGAUUCUUGAACGGGUAUUGAUAAUGACUUAUUGUAUUUGAAUGUUUUGGAGGAAUUUGAAUUGCAGCUUUAAGUUGUAACGCUGGUUAUCAAUGUCAUUUUCCAGUCAAUAUUGUUACUAAAAUGUUAAA
RNA transcript from Coffea arabica (coffee), 980 nucleotides. RefSeq lists it as uncharacterized. Lineage: Eukaryota; Viridiplantae; Streptophyta; Magnoliopsida; Gentianales; Rubiaceae. The record is from RefSeq and is a predicted model, not a curated record.